UGAGUGGCGGACGGGUGAGUAACGCGUGGGUAACCUGCCUCAUACAGGGGGAUAACAGUUAGAAAUGACUGCUAAUACCGCAUAAGCGCACAAAACCGCAUGGUUUGGUGUGAAAAACUGAGGUGGUAUGAGAUGGACCCGCGUCUGAUUAGCUAGUUGGAGAGGUAACGGCUCACCAAGGCAACGAUCAGUAGCCGACCUGAGAGGGUGACCGGCCACAUUGGGACUGAGACACGGCCCAAACUCCUACGGGAGGCAGCAGUGGGGAAUAUUGCACAAUGGGGGAAACCCUGAUGCAGCAACGCCGCGUGAGUGAAGAAGUAAUUCGUUAUGUAAAGCUCUAUCAGCAGGGAAGAAAAUGACGGUACCUGAGUAAGCAGCCCCGGCUAACUACGUGCCAGCAGCCGCGGUAAUACGUAGGGGGCAAGCGUUAUCCGGAUUUACUGGGUGUAAAGGGAGCGUAGACGGUUAUGCAAGUCUGAAGUGAAAUGCCAGUGCUCAACACUGGAACUGCUUUGGAAGCUGUGUAACUGGAGUGCAGGAGAGGUAAGUGGAAUUCCUAGUGUAGCGGUGAAAUGCGUAGAUAUUAGGAGGAACACCAGUGGCGAAGGCGGCUUACUGGACUGUAACUGACGUUGAGGCUCGAAAGCGUGGGGAGCAAACAGGAUUAGAUACCCUGGUAGUCCA
RNAcentral lists this ribosomal RNA (687 nucleotides) under uncultured bacterium. RNAcentral's name for it is "bacterial SSU rRNA". It matches the Rfam family "Bacterial small subunit ribosomal RNA", at positions 92 to 797 of the family's 1533-position model. The record is from RNAcentral.